CUCAGUUUUUUUUAUAGUGCGAGUACUGGCUUUGCGCCGGAACUCAAUCGGUUUGGGUCUGGCAGCAGUCCUGCAGACCCCGGGGCAAUUUUUCCGCUGUCGAGCACAUUUUUGCCAGAAGAACAGCGACUGUCAUCGUUUCAUGUCAAGUUUUGUGUUUGUAAUGUUAUUUUUAUAUCAGUUAACAUCUAGUCACAUUUUUACUGUGCUUCAUACUAACCAAUUUCUUGUAACAUGUAAUUAAACGGAUUGCCAGUCGUCAGAUGAGGUCCCAGAUGGGAGGCUUUUUCCUGCUGCUUCCGGAGAGGGCCGCCCGGGGAGACCUUCCACCUUCUCCCUCUUCGGGCUGCCAGUCACCCUGCUCCUGGGACCAGUAGGACACACUACCUCUUCAAGCCACCACCGCCUACCACCAAAGGAGUUAUUGUGCCAUCAGAACGCAAGUUUUAUUGUUAUAAACAUUUUUCGAAGGACUUGAUAUUAAAAGGGGCCCCCAAAUUAUUUAUUAUUGUUAUUUAUUUUUAAGCUAAUUGUUAUUUAUUAAUUUGAAAGUUAUUUAUUUAUUUAUUUAAAGAGUAAGAUUCCAUAAAAAUUUUUACAGUUACCAUCUUUUAAUUUAUUUCACUGUUAGGCCUAAUUUUUGCUACUGGUACCAGUUAUGUAAGGUUUAGAAGGGUAAACUUAAAAUUCUUAUUUAUUUAAUUUUUUUGAGAAAAGAGUUUAUUUAAAAGAAAUUCUUUGGAUGGGUAAAUUUGAUUGUUGAUUAUUGUUACUUUGUUGUUUUUGAGAUAUUAUAGGCAUUUGUUCACAA
This is a long non-coding RNA of Macrosteles quadrilineatus (aster leafhopper), 811 nucleotides long. RefSeq lists it as uncharacterized. NCBI's taxonomy places the organism in Eukaryota, Metazoa, Arthropoda, Insecta, Hemiptera, Cicadellidae. The record is from RefSeq and is a predicted model, not a curated record. The transcript is spliced from 2 exons.